Long non-coding RNA from Labeo rohita (rohu), 1049 nucleotides. RefSeq lists it as uncharacterized. The transcript has 3 exons. NCBI's taxonomy places the organism in Eukaryota, Metazoa, Chordata, Actinopteri, Cypriniformes, Cyprinidae. The record is from RefSeq and is a predicted model, not a curated record.
CAAACAGCUGAUAAAAACAGCACAAGUAAUCCACACGACUCCAGUCCAUCCAAUAAUGUCUUGUGAAGCAAAAAGCUGCGUGUUUCUAAGAAGCUAAUUAAUUAUUGUGAUGUUUUAACAGUUGUUUGAACUCUCAAUCUGAUGGCACCAAUUCACUGCAGAUGAUCCAUUGAUGAGCAAGUGAUAUACUGCUGAAAUUCUCCAAAUCUGAUGAUGAAACAAGCUCAUCUACAUUUCGAAUGGCUUGAGAUACAGAUCGGUGCUGAUAGGGACGGAAAGAGGCGGGAAACCGGAUCCUUAUUCUGUCUGUCAUUCUGACCUCACUAGACCUGGCUCUUCUCCUGGCAGUGCUCCUCCGGGGCCUGGGGUCACGGUACGGAGAGGACGACGACCAUUCUUACAGUUCUCCUAGGAAAACCAGGGAUCAAAGAUGCUGCCAGGGGCAUUAGCACAGUGGCAUUGUGGUUGCUCUGCCAGCUCCCAUCAGCGCAUACCUGGCAUCGGACGCUCACCUUGACCCCCCGAUGAGAAAAGAGCGGGCUCUGGCUGUUCUCCCAGAUUCUGCUUCCUCCUGCUCCGAUCAUGCCCAUGUAUGGACCAGACGCAUGUGCGGCAGUCAAAUACAAAUUGUGACAAUCACCAAGCAGGUCUAUUACAGUCAGAUUUACCACCGCUGGGAAGCACAGCAGGUAACACAGAGCUACAGUUGUUAUGCCAACUGUGCUCCAAAUACCUAAUUGCAGAAACACCAUCAAUUGGCUUCUGCUGCACAGGCGGAAAUGUGGUGUUUAAAGACCAGCGGAUCUGGAAAAUGAGAGAACUGGGAACUAGGAGUGGGGGGGGGAAACAAAACACUUCAGCUAGCAAAGUUUGGGGUGAGUAGGAUUUAUGUUUGAUAGAAGUUGAUACUUUUAUUCAACAAGGAUGGAUUAAAUUGACAGUAAAUAAUAUAGAAAAAAAAUCUGUUUUAAGUUUCAUAUCAGAUAUUAUGGUUUCCACAGAAUGAUUAACCAGCACAACUGUUACAGUAUAAUGAGUGUUCCCUGAGC